GAUGAACGUUGGCGGCGUGCCUAAUACAUGCAAGUCGAACGAAGACUGUAGUAAUACUGUCUUAGUGGCGAACGGGUGAGUAACGCGUGGGUGACCUGCCCCGAAGUGUGGGAUAACAGUCCGAAAGGAUUGCUAAUACUGCAUAAUAUCCAAGAGAUUAGAUGCUUUUGGAUUAAAGGAGUAAUUCGCUUCGGGAGGGGCCCGCGUCCCAUCAGCUAGUUGGUAAGGUAAUGGCUUACCAAGGCGAUGACGGGUAGGGGACCUGAGAGGGUGGCCCCCCAAAUGGAACUGAAACACGGUCCAUACACCUACGGGUGGCAGCAGUAGGGAAUAUUAGUAAUGGGCGAAAGCCUGAACUAGCAACGCCGCGUGUGCGAAGAAGGCCUUCGGGUCGUAAAGCACUUUUUGAGAGGAUGAGGAAGGACGGUACUCUCAGAAUAAGUCUCGGCUAACUACGUGCCAGCAGCCGCGGUAAGCACGAGAGUA
Molecule: ribosomal RNA, 486 nt
Filed under: uncultured bacterium
Lineage: Bacteria
Description: bacterial SSU rRNA
Rfam family: Bacterial small subunit ribosomal RNA
Source: RNAcentral